RNAcentral lists this ribosomal RNA (1023 nucleotides) under Triticum aestivum (bread wheat). RNAcentral's name for it is "partial small subunit ribosomal RNA". Lineage: Eukaryota; Viridiplantae; Streptophyta; Magnoliopsida; Poales; Poaceae. The record is from RNAcentral.
AUGAGUUCCCGCGUCGCCGGAUCCGUCCUCCUCCGCCACCUGGGCCCGCGCGUCUUCGGGCCGACCACUCCUGCUGCGCAGAGGCCCCUGCUUGCCGGAGGAGAAGGGGGCGCCGUGGUCGUGUGGGCGCGGCCGCUGUCCACCUCCGCCGCAGAGGCGGCGAGGGAGGAGGCGGCCGCGUCCAAGGACAACGUGGCGAGCACCGCCGCCGCGACGGCCGAGGCGAUGCAGGCCGCGAAGGCCGCCAAGGAGGGGGGCAAGAGCCCAGUGAGCAGCUACUGGGGCAUCGUGCCUGCCAAGCUGGUGAACAAGGACGGCGCCGAGUGGAAGUGGUCUUGCUUCAGGCCGUGGGAGGCGUACACGUCGGACACGACGAUCGAUCUCACCAAGCACCACAAGCCCAAGGUGCUGCUCGACAAGAUCGCCUACUGGACCGUCAAGUCGCUGCGCGUGCCCACCGACAUCUUCUUCCAGAGGAGGUACGGGUGCCGGGCGAUGAUGCUGGAGACGGUGGCGGCGGUGCCGGGGAUGGUGGGCGGGAUGCUGCUCCACCUGCGGUCGCUGCGGCGGUUCGAGCAGAGCGGCGGGUGGAUCCGGGCGCUGCUGGAGGAGGCAGAGAACGAGCGGAUGCACCUGAUGACCUUCAUGGAGGUGGCCAAACCCAAGUGGUACGAGCGCGCGCUGGUGCUGGCGGUGCAGGGCGUCUUCUUCAACGCCUACUUCCUGGGCUACAUCGUGUCCCCCAAGUUUGCGCACCGCGUCGUCGGCUACCUCGAGGAGGAGGCCAUCCACUCCUACACCGAGUUCCUCCGCGACCUCGAGGCCGGCAGGAUCGAGAACGUCCCCGCCCCGCGCAUCGCCAUCGACUACUGGCGCCUCCCCGCCGACGCCAGGCUCAAGGACGUGGUCACCGUCGUGCGCGCCGACGAGGCGCACCACCGCGACGUCAACCACUUCGCCGCGGACAUCCAUUUCCAGGGGCUGGAGCUCAACAAGACGCCUGCCCCGCUAGGAUAUCACUGA